RNAcentral lists this ribosomal RNA (460 nucleotides) under uncultured bacterium. RNAcentral describes it as "partial 16S ribosomal RNA". It matches the Rfam family "Bacterial small subunit ribosomal RNA", at positions 338 to 795 of the family's 1533-position model. The record is from RNAcentral.
CCUACGGGGGGCAGCAGUGAGGAAUAUUGGUCAAUGGCCGGAAGGCUGAACCAGCCAUGCCGCGUGAAGGUCAGUGCCCUAUGGGCGUUAAACUUCUUUUGUGCGGGAGCAAUAAUGGUCACGUGUGGCCAGACGAGAGUACCGUACGAAUAAGCAUCGGCUAACUCCGUUCCAGCAGCCGCGGUAAUACGGGGGAUGCAAGCGUUAUCCGGAUUUAUUGGGUUUAAAGGGUGCGUAGGCUGUGAGGUAAGUCAGCGGUGAAAUGCCCCCGCUCAACGGGGUGAAGUGCCAUUGAUACUGCCUGGCUGGAAUGCGGAUGCCGUGGGAGGAAUGUGUGGUGUAGCGGUGAAAUGCAUAGAUAUCACACAGAACACCGAUUGCGAAGGCAUCUCACGAAUCCGCGAUUGACGCUGAUGCACGAAAGCGUGGGUAUCAAACAGGAUUAGAUACCCCAGUAGUC